Molecule: long non-coding RNA, 1384 nt
Organism: Sapajus apella (tufted capuchin)
Lineage: Eukaryota; Metazoa; Chordata; Mammalia; Primates; Cebidae
Exons: 2
Source: RefSeq, a predicted model, not a curated record
AUUGGCCUGGCAAGUGGUGCCGAAUUCACCAUUCCUCACUUUUAUUUCCCUCAGUAGGGUUCUGCCACUUAAUCGGAGGGGCUUGCUUCCUUCCAGGCAAUCUCUCUGUGCAGCGUUCUGGGGCAGAGGGACUGUUCCUGGGUGAUGCACCUGGACACUUUGUCAGCUCUUGACUCCCUGGUCAGCAGUGGCCUUUGCAUCCUGCCUUCUUGGACAAGCCCUGUGGCCUGUGCCCCCCAACCCAAGGCACGUCUGAAACGCAGUGGCAUCCCCUAUACAAAGGCUUCCUGUUGCUCCCCUUUUCUCUCCUAUCUGAUUUUCAAGACUUGCUUUCUGGUACCUUUAACACCUGUAGCUCCCAGCCUGGCUCAGUUUACUUCUAGGUUCAGCUGCCUGCCAAGACACCAGGUGACAGUCGGGCCUCUCCAAAGCCGCUCCCACCAUUGUCUACAGCUGUGGGGCCCAAGAAACCCCACACGUGAGAUGCGCAGUCUGAUAUGGCCGGUUCUGCCCCUCUGGGUUUUAUGUCUUUUCAAAGUGGUUCAUUUGAAAGCUGUGGCUGUUGUCAGCUGGGUGCUGAGAGCACUGGACAAAUUCCCUGCCUGGGUUGUGUAGACAGCGUGGGGAAUGGGGGACCCCUGGACCCUGACAGUCUCACCAGGCCUAAUGAGAUGAAUGUCCGUCAGACCUGUGCUGAUGCAGCUACUUUCCCUGUGAAUUUGACCAUCGAAAUUCUUCCUACAUUUCAAUUCCCCCAAUUCUAAAAUGAGGAGGCUGUGCUAGAUACCAUCUCAGAACUCUUCCAGCUAUAAAUUGCAAACCAAUCAGGUAUUAAUCAAUUCACUCAUCCACUCUUUAUUACAUGUACCCUGAUCUGCAGAAGACAUUCUUGUGUAUAACAUUCUUGAGUUUGAUUUGUUCUUUUAAAAAAUAUGGAAUUUUCAUUUAAUUCCAAAUGUCUUUUUUCUUUUUGUUGUUGUUGUACAAUUUACUCGCAACCAAAGAAGAAAUAAAGAUAUUUUGGAGAGUUAAAAUUAUUUCUUAGCUUUAAAUAGGUGUGUGCUUUCCACAGUGACUGACAUUUCACCUGUAUUUUGAGAUAUUUGGAAAUCUUUACCUGUUUCCCCAAGGGUUAUGGAUAGCCUUGGGCUUGACUUGGUUUAGAUUCUCAGACACUGUGGUUUGGCUUGGGCUGGGGCUGGGCCCAGCCUCUCAAGGCUUUGAUUAAUCCACUGCACCUCUCAUUUUCCUGACUAUAAAAGAGAAGCUACAGUUCUGAAUAAGCAUCUUGCAGAAGAAAGGAGCCAAAGCAGAAAGUAUUAAACUUUCAUCCAGCACCGUAGGAGAGAUGUAGUUAUUAAAUUUCAGCUGCUUAUCACAAUGA